GAUGAACGCUAGCUACAGGCUUAACACAUGCAAGUCGAGGGGAAACGACAUCGAAAGCUUGCUUUUGAUGGGCGUCGACCGGCGCACGGGUGAGUAACGCGUAUCCAACCUGCCCACCACUUGGGGAUAACCUUGCGAAAGUAAGACUAAUACCCAAUGAUAUCCCACGAAGGCAUCGGAAUGGGAUUAAAGAUUUAUCGGUGAUGGAUGGGGAUGCGUCUGAUUAGCUUGUUGGCGGGGUAACGGCCCACCAAGGCAACGAUCAGUAGGGGUUCUGAGAGGAAGGUCCCCCACAUUGGAACUGAGACACGGUCCAAACUCCUACGGGAGGCAGCAGUGAGGAAUAUUGGUCAAUGGGCGAGAGCCUGAACCAGCCAAGUAGCGUGCAGGAUGACGGCCCUAUGGGUUGUAAACCUCUUUUGUCGGGGAGUAACGUGCGGGACGGGUCCCGUAUUGAGAGUACCCGAAGAAAAAGCAUCGGCUAACUCCGUG
Molecule: ribosomal RNA, 492 nt
Filed under: uncultured bacterium
Lineage: Bacteria
Description: bacterial SSU rRNA
Rfam family: Bacterial small subunit ribosomal RNA
Source: RNAcentral